GGCCUAACACAUGCAAGUCGAGCGGUAACAGAAAGUAGCUUGCUACUUUGCUGACGAGCGGCGGACGGGUGAGUAAUGCUUGGGAACAUGCCUUGAGGUGGGGGACAACAGUUGGAAACGACUGCUAAUACCGCAUAAUGUCUACGGACCAAAGGGGGCUUCGGCUCUCGCCUUUAGAUUGGCCCAAGUGGGAUUAGCUAGUUGGUGAGGUAAUGGCUCACCAAGGCGACGAUCCCUAGCUGGUUUGAGAGGAUGAUCAGCCACACUGGGACUGAGACACGGCCCAGACUCCUACGGGAGGCAGCAGUGGGGAAUAUUGCACAAUGGGCGCAAGCCUGAUGCAGCCAUGCCGCGUGUGUGAAGAAGGCCUUCGGGUUGUAAAGCACUUUCAGUCAGGAGGAAAGGUUAGUAGUUAAUACCUGCUAGCUGUGACGUUACUGACAGAAGAAGCACCGGCUAACUCCGUGCCAGCAGCCGCGGUAAUACGGAGGGUGCGAGCGUUAAUCGGAAUUACUGGCGUAAAGCGUACGCAGGCGGUUUGUUAAGCGAGAUGUGAAAGCCCCGGCUCAACCUGGGAACUGCAUUUCGAACUGCAAACUAGAGUGUGAUAGAGGGUGGUAGAAUUUCAGGUGUAGCGGUGAAAUGCGUAGAGAUCUGAAGGAAUACCGAUGGCGAAGCAGCACCUGGUCAACACUGACGCUCAUGUACCAAAGCGUGGGAGCAAACGGGAUUAGAUAC
RNAcentral lists this ribosomal RNA (738 nucleotides) under Pseudoalteromonas sp. R3-Ret-T4-1b. RNAcentral describes it as "bacterial SSU rRNA". It matches the Rfam family "Bacterial small subunit ribosomal RNA", at positions 45 to 785 of the family's 1533-position model. Lineage: Bacteria; Pseudomonadati; Pseudomonadota; Gammaproteobacteria; Alteromonadales; Pseudoalteromonadaceae. The record is from RNAcentral.